This 299-nucleotide unclassified non-coding RNA is filed under the name Hevea brasiliensis (rubber tree). Lineage: Eukaryota; Viridiplantae; Streptophyta; Magnoliopsida; Malpighiales; Euphorbiaceae. The record is from RNAcentral.
ACCACGCACCCAAAAAGUGAAAAACUCAUAUUCAGCUUGACCAAUCAAAACGGCAGCUGGAGAUGUGGCUGUAAUUUUCAACAACACAAAGAACAGGAAUUUCAACUUAAUGGAAAAUGACUGCAGUGUAAAUCAUCUUAGAUUGUAGCCGAUAGAAAGUAACAGAUGUUCAAGGAUAAAGUAAAUCUAACUGAAGUAAUAAUACUAAAUAUUGCAAAUUUGAAUUAUGGAACAGGCUAUAUAUAACAUUAAAUUCCACUGAAAUUGAGAAAAAUGCAAUUCUUCCUCGUAAGAGCAGA